RNAcentral lists this ribosomal RNA (441 nucleotides) under uncultured bacterium. RNAcentral's name for it is "partial 16S ribosomal RNA". It matches the Rfam family "Bacterial small subunit ribosomal RNA", at positions 338 to 795 of the family's 1533-position model. The record is from RNAcentral.
CCUACGGGCGGCAGCAGUGGGGAAUAUUGCACAAUGGGGGAAACCCUGAUGCAGCAACGCCGCGUGAAGGAAGACGGUUUUCGGAUUGUAAACUUCUGUUCUUAGUGAAGAAUAAUGACGGUAGCUAAGGAGCAAGCGACGGCUAACUACGUGCCAGCAGCCGCGGUAAUACGUAGGUGGCAAGCGUUGUCCGGAAUUACUGGGUGUAAAGGGAGCGCAGGCGGGAAGCCAAGUCAGGUGUGAAAACUCCGGGCUUAACUUGUAGACUGCAGUUGAAACUGGGUUUCUUGAGUGGACGAGGAGUAGGCGGAAUGCGGGGUGUAGCGGUGAAAUGCAUAGAUAUUAGGCGGAACACCGGUGGCGAAGGCAGCCAACCGGGGUCUAACUGACGCUGAGGCUCGAAAGUGUGGGUAGCAAACAGGAUUAGAUACCCCUGUAGUC